AAUUACAAUAAGUUUGGGGUUUUUAAAAAAUAUUUGAAUCUCUCAAUCCUAAAGUCGUAUCGCCGGCGAGACAUUCAAAUCGACUCCGGCAAUAUCACACACUCCCUCUCCGAUACAGAUUUCCGGCAAUUACCUGGCCCUGAGCCAUAAAUGGCGUCUCGAGUGUUUCCCUCGAGCUCGUGUGGCCAUUACCGUAGAAUAAGCUUGCUGGAAUCUGAUGUUGAAGAAGAGCCGCUAAGUAUUGUUUGAAACCAUCGAGCAGAAGCUUUAGGUAUCCUUGUGAGAUUGUUCUUGUAGUCAACAUAGUAGAUCCCAAACCGGACCGUGUAUCCUGAGUUCCAUUCCCAAUUGUCUAGCAAUGACCACACAAAAUAUCCUCUUACGUCGCAUUCAUCAUUCCUGCAAAGUGAAUGCGGGAACAUUUCAAACUCAAGAAUCUUUGUGAAUCUCUGCAAAGUGAAGAACUUUACCUUAUGGCAGCUGAUAAGUUUGAGAGGUGGGUUUCCAUAUAUGUCUUUAACAUACACUGCCAGUUUCCUGAUUCCCCAUGGGACAAUGUGUAGCCAGCUUGACCCUGCCUGUUUCAAGUAUGGUAAGCAGCAGCAUGAGACAACAGAAUGUUAUGAGCUACAAUAUACGGUUCGACCGAUGACUUCCCCUUCUUACAGAACCAAUGUCCCAGAAGUGAGCACCUUCCUGGAGCUUGUAUCCCUGUGUCAUAGCCUUGGAUCGAUACCCCAUGAGGCUCAUUGAAAGUGAUCCAGUACUUCACUCUAUCUCCAAAUGCUUUGAAACAGUUUGGAGAAGAUGAAGAAGAAGAAGAAUGUCACCUGGUAAGCUGAAGAAGCUGUUCCGAAUACAAAUCCAUCUGGAAAAUUUGCUCUGCUGAUAGAUUCUGAAGAAACGUGAUCAAGAGGUACGAAGAAGACGACGAAGAACGGAAACAGAACUAAGACGAGUCUCAUUAAAGAUUCCAUUUUUUGGGUCGCAUGAAUAGAGAAAGUGAGAGAAAGAGAGAGAUAAGGGGAUGGAAUUUUAUGGUGAAUGAAAGAUUUGGAGGCAAGAAAAUGGAGUUUUGGUGUGUGUGUGUUUUUAAUUUGUAAAGUUGAAGAAGAAAGAGGAAGAGUGCAAAACAAAAGCUCACGUCUUUUGAAGGCUUUUCUUUGGUUUUGACAUUUGUUCUCUCUACUUUUACUGCACACGUUUCUUAUACUUGUGCCAAAAACUUUUUAAAGUUGUUUACUCUCUUAAGAUAAAAAAAAAGUUUGUUACUGAGUGACACUGAUUCACCUAACUACCUAUGUCUUUUUUUUAAAGAUAUUCUUCUUGAUAGUCUUGUUAUUUGUAACCCC
RNAcentral lists this long non-coding RNA (1352 nucleotides) under Arabidopsis thaliana (thale cress). RNAcentral describes it as "ncRNA (AT5G54569)". Lineage: Eukaryota; Viridiplantae; Streptophyta; Magnoliopsida; Brassicales; Brassicaceae. The record is from RNAcentral.